Molecule: long non-coding RNA, 1102 nt
Organism: Prosopis cineraria
Lineage: Eukaryota; Viridiplantae; Streptophyta; Magnoliopsida; Fabales; Fabaceae
Exons: 2
Source: RefSeq, a predicted model, not a curated record
UGCUGUAGAUCACUUACUGGUACUAGUUCCUUUUCAAGAGGCAGGUUCAUCGGAUCCACCAGGUCCAGUAUGGAGGAGUCAGCCAUCACAGGAGGCAAAUACUAUUGAGGAUAGGGUGGCACUGGUGGCCUGAGAAGCGAAGAUCGUGACGAAUGUGACUAAUGGGAGGAGCUAAUCCCAGAUUUUUCUCUUUGUCCUUACAGGAAUGGCUGCAUUGGAACUUGAAGCGGGAGAUAGGAAUGAGCCAAGUCAACAGAUGGCCUUGGAGGAAAGUGUUUAGCUUGGGCUAUUGGAAUAUUUGGAAAAAUAGAUGUCGCGGCAUUUUUAACAAUGACCGACUUUUAGUACAAAGGGUGUUUCAAUCAAUUCUUCAUCAUCUUAGGGAGGAUAAAGCACUCAAGGUUUUCCGAAAAGUCAUUCUACAAUCUAGAUUAUGAGAGGAGGUGCAUUGGGUGCCACCUAUUGAUGGCGAAUUCAGAUUUGAUGUAAACAGCUCAGUAACUACAGAAGGAAAUGCGGCUUGUGGUGGUGUACUAAGGAAUCAGCAAGGAGAUUGGAUUGUGGGGUUCAAGCAAAAUCUUGGUGAAGAGAAUAUUGUUGUAGCGGAGCUUAUGGCUAUUCAUAAUGCUUUGAAUAUAUACAAAGAAAGGAAUGUGACAAAGGCUUCCAUCUAUACCGAUUCUUUACAAGCUCUUCAACUCUUGGUGCGUGAUGGGAGCUACUUCCAUCCUUUGAAUGUUAUUAUUCAACAGAUCCAGCAAACUUGGCAGAAUACUGAAAAUAUACACAUCAUUCAUACCUAUAGAGAAGGAGUAAGGUGUGCGGACCAACUGGCUAGGAAUGCUCACCAUGGUAGUUUUGAGUUGCAAGUUAUGCAGACGGUUCAAGUUAUGCAGACGGUUCCUAUAGAAUGUUUCAAUAUUUUCUACUCUGAAGUACCUACCAAUCGUUUGGCGAACUAGACGUUUUUUUGUACUCCAGUUUCCAAGCUUAGGCUUGCCUCGACUUAAAAAAAUAUAGUUAGGCCUCUUAAAAUUUAAGUGUAAUUAAAAUUAUAGGUGAAUUGUAAUUAAAAUUAUAAGUGAAAAGACCUUUAUACCCA